UUCCAGGCAAAUCCGGAAAAUCAAGGCUGAGGCGUGAUGACGAGGCACUACGGUGCUGAAGCAACAAAUGCCCUGCUUCCAGGAAAAGCCUCUAAGCAUCAGGUAACAUCAAAUCGUACCCCAAACCGACACAGGUGGUCAGGUAGAGAAUACCAAGGCGCUUGAGAGAACUCGGGUGAAGGAACUAGGCAAAAUGGUGCCGUAACUUCGGGAGAAGGCACGCUGAUAUGUAGGUGAAGCGACUUGCUCGUGGAGCUGAAAUCAGUCGAAGAUACCAGCUGGCUGCAACUGUUUAUUAAAAACACAGCACUGUGCAAACACGAAAGUGGACGUAUACGGUGUGACGCCUGCCCGGUGCCGGAAGGUUAAUUGAUGGGGUCAGCGCAAGCGAAGCUCUUGAUCGAAGCCCCGGUAAACGGCGGCCGUAACUAUAACGGUCCUAAGGUAGCGAAAUUCCUUGUCGGGUAAGUUCCGACCUGCACGAAUGGCGUAAUGAUGGCCAGGCUGUCUCCACCCGAGACUCAGUGAAAUUGAACUCGCUGUGAAGAUGCAGUGUACCCGCGGCAAGACGGAAAGACCCCGUGAACCUUUACUAUAGCUUGACACUGAACAUUGAGCCUUGAUGUGUAGGAUAGGUGGGAGGCUUUGAAGUGUGGACGCCAGUCUGCAUGGAGCCGACCUUGAAAUACCACCCUUUAAUGUUUGAUGUUCUAACGUGGACCCGUGAUCCGGGUUGCGGACAGUGUCUGGUGGGUAGUUUGACUGGGGCGGUCUCCUCCUAAAGAGUAACGGAGGAGCACGAAGGUUGGCUAAUCCUGGUCGGACAUCAGGAGGUUAGUGCAAUGGCAUAAGCCAGCUUGACUGCGAGCGUGACGGCGCGAGCAGGUGCGAAAGCAGGUCAUAGUGAUCCGGUGGUUCUGAAUGGAAGGGCCAUCGCUCAACGGAUAAAAGGUACUCCGGGGAUAACAGGCUGAUACCGCCCAAGAGUUCAUAUCGACGGCGGUGUUUGGCACCUCGAUGUCGGCUCAUCACAUCCUGGGGCUGAAGUAGGUCCCAAGGGUAUGGCUGUUCGCCAUUUAAAGUGGUACGCGAGCUGGGUUUAGAACGUCGUGAGACAGUUCGGUCCCUAUCUGCCGUGGGCGCUGGAGAACUGAGGGGGGCUGCUCCUAGUACGAGAGGACCGGAGUGGACGCAUCACUGGUGUUCGGGUUGUCAUGCCAAUGGCACUGCCCGGUAGCUAAAUGCGGAAGAGAUAAGUGCUGAAAGCAUCUAAGCACGAAACUUGCCCCGAGAUGAGUUCUCCCUGACUCCUUGAGAGUCCUGAAGGAACGUUGAAGACGACGACGUUGAUAGGCCGGGUGUGUAAGCGCAGCGAUGCGUUGAGCUAACCGGUACUAAUGAACCGUGAGGCUUAACCUUACAACGCCGAAGGUGUUU
Molecule: ribosomal RNA, 1437 nt
Filed under: Escherichia coli
Lineage: Bacteria; Pseudomonadati; Pseudomonadota; Gammaproteobacteria; Enterobacterales; Enterobacteriaceae
Description: partial 23S ribosomal RNA
Rfam family: Bacterial large subunit ribosomal RNA
Source: RNAcentral